Molecule: long non-coding RNA, 3472 nt
Organism: Zonotrichia albicollis (white-throated sparrow)
Lineage: Eukaryota; Metazoa; Chordata; Aves; Passeriformes; Passerellidae
Source: Ensembl
CAUCCCACAGUUCUGAUCCCCAGAAUCCCUCUUUUCCAGUGCUCACUGUGCCACCUUUCUUAUCCUCACCAUCCCUCCUUUCUGCUCCUCAGAAUCCCACUUUUUUCAGCGUCCUCAGCAUCCCACCUUGUUGAUCCUCAGAAUCCCACUUUUCUGGUCCUCAGAAUCCCACUUUUCUGGUCCUCAGCAUCCCACUUUUCCAUUCAGCAGCACCAUCCCCGCCUCACCAGCCGGCACCAUCCCACCUUUCCAGCCAGCACCAUCCCAUCCCACAGUGCCAGCUGGAACCAUCCCUCCUUCCCAGAUGGCAGCACCAUCCCACCUCUCCAGCUGGGAGCAUCCUGCCUUUCCAGCCAAUAUCCCAUCCCACCUCUCCAGCUGGGAGCAUCCUGCCUUUCCAGCCAAUAUCCCAUCCCGCCUCUCCAGCUGGGAGCAUCCUGCCUUUCCAGCCAAUAUCCAAUCCUGCCUCUCCAGCUGGGAGCAUCCCGCAUUUCCAGGCAGCAUCAUCCCACCUCUCCAGCUGGUCCCAUCCCUCCUUGCUGGUCUGUGACUUCCCGCCUCCCUGGCCGGAAGCACCAUCCCAACUUCUCCAUCUGGAAACAUCCCACAUUUCCAGUUGGCAGCGUUAUCCCACCUCACUGCGUGGAAGCAUCCCACCUUUCUGGUUGGAAAUGUUAUCCCACCUCACUGGAUGGCAGCAUCCUCCCUCUCCAGCAGGAAGCAUCCCACAUUUCCAGUUGGCAUCAUCCCACCUCACCACCUGGGGACAUCCGGCCUUUCCGGUCGGAAGCGUUAUCCCACCUCUCCAGCUGGCAUCGUGCCUGGAAGCAUCCCGACUUUCCAGUCAGAAGCAUCAUCCCACUUCUCCAGCUGGAGACAUCCCAUAUUUCCAAUUGGAAGUGCUAUCCCACCUCUCCAGCAGGAAACAUCCCACCUUUCAGUCAGGACCAUCAUCCCACCUCUGUGGCUGAAAACAUCCGGCCUUUCCGGUUGGAAGCAUUAUCCCACCUUUCCAGCUGGCAUCAUCCCACCUCACUGCCUGGAGACAUCCCGCCCUUCCAGUCAGAAGCAUCAUCCCAACUUCUCCAGCUGGAGACAUCCCACAUUUCCAGUCAAGACCAUUAUCCCACCCCAAUGCCUGGAAGCAUCCCACCUUUCCAGUCAGAAGCAAUAUCCCACCUCACUGGCUGGAAGUAUUAUCCCACUUCUCCAGCUGGAAGCAUCCCACAUUUCCAGUCAGGACCAUCAUCCCACCUCAAUAGUUGGAAGCAUCCCACAUUUCCAUUUGGAAGUGUUAUCCCACCUCACUGGACGGUGGCAUCCCACCUUUCCAGUCGGCAUCAUCCCACCUCACUGCCUGGGAAUAUUCAGCCUUUCUGGUUGGAGCCAUUAUCCCACCUCUCCAGCUGGAAAGAUCCCACAUUUCCAGUCAUCACUAUCCCAUUUCUCCCACUGGAAGCAUCCUGCAUUUCCAGUCGGGACCAUUAUCCCAUCCCACUAUCCAGAAGCCUCAUCCUGCUUUUCCAGCAACAUUCCACCUUUCCAGCUGGCACAGCCAUCCCUCCGUGGUGGAGAAGAGCAUCCCAGCACCAUCCCACUUUCCACCUGGCAACAUUCCCUCUUCCAGGAGAUCCAUCCCACCUUCUGGCCAGCAGCAUUCCCUCAUUCCCUUUACCAGGAGAUCCAUCCCUCCUCUCCAGCAGCCUCAUCCCACCUCACCCAUCCCAUGUGGACACGAGUGGUUUCCUCAUGGAGCAUCCCGGUUAUAAAUCCCACUUGGGGGAAUUUUCCCUUCUGGGUGGAUUCCAGCUCUGCUUUUCCCUUCUCCCAGCCCCUGGCUGCCUUCCCGCUCCAAAGAUCCUCCUGGAAGUGAACAUUCCCUCCUUUCCAUGGAUACAACGCUUCCAUGGAGCCUCCACCAUCUGUUCCAGGCUCCGAUUAUCCACGCACGGAUUGGGAAUCUCCCAUUAGCCGCACUUCGGAGCGGCUCCGAUCCCGCUCCAGCCCUUUUGGAAGGAUUCCUUUGGAUUUUCACAUGGAUUUUGGGGCCUGGCAGGCUCAGUUUGGAAUUCCCAAGGAUGGGAGACAGGGAACAACCAGCCCUGGAAAGGCAAAUGCUCCCUGGCACAUCCUGGAGUUGGAAAUACAGGGACAAAGGGAUUUGGGAAUUCCUAAUGAGGGUGGGAUUUUAAUCAAGGGGAAGGGGAAAAAAAAUGGGAUUGGAGGGGUUGGAUCUCUCCCAGCUUUGCUCUUUAUGGCACAGAGCCAGGAUGGAAAGAGGCGGCGCUGGAGCCCCUGGGCUGCGCUGAUAAGGCCGGGAAAACGCUGAUAAGGAGCGGGAAAAGGCUGAUAAGGAAUGGGGAAAACGCAGAUGUGGCUGGUUUCUCCUGGGAUAACGUUCUCUUGGAUGGUUCCUCCUGGGAUAACCCUGAUCAUGAGCGGGAAAACGCUGAUAAAGCUGACUCCACCCGGGAAAAUACUGAUAAGGAGGGUUCCAUGUGGGAAAACGCUGAUAAGAAACCGGGAAAAUGCAGAAGUGGCCGGAUUGUCCCGGGAUAAUUCUGCCCGGAAAAACGCUGAUAAGGACGGGGAUAAUGCUGAUAAGGAGCAGGGUAACACUGAUAAGGACGGCUCCUCCUGGGAUAAAGCUCCUUGGGAUGGCUCCAGCUGAACCACGGCAAAGAUUCCUCAAAAAAGGGAGAGAAGAAAUAGAUGGAUGGAAAAAGAAAGGGAGAAUGAACAGGAGGAAAAGCCUGGAUUGGGAAAUGCUUCCUCCAUCCCUAAACUUUUCCUGGCUUUGCCCCAAUUCUUUGGGAGAGCCCAAAAUCCAUCAGGACCUUCCCAAAAAAUCCAAUGACUGGGAAAAGCAGCCCUGGGAAUGAUCUCCUCAGGCUGGCUCCUGUUUUCCUUGGGAAAAAAAGACCAUGCGAUGAAAACCCUUUUCCUACUGACAUCUCCCAUCUCCACACUCAAUUUCCCGGACAUUCCCGAGGCUUUCAAGUGCCUGGGAAUUUUCUGCUCCCAAAUUCCAUUUGUUCUACAACAUGUGGAGAGAGGGAGGAAAACAGAGAGCUGGAGCCAGGAAAAGUGGGAGCAUUUCCUUGUCAGGUCCGGGAAAUAUUCCAUGAGCAGGGAAGGGGUGAUUCCUUGUUCCUGCUCCAGGAUUAUCCCAGUUCCUCAUGCCAUGAGCAGGGAAUGUUUGAUCCUUGUUUCCGGUUCAGGGAUUCUCCUGAUCCCUUUUUCCAUGGAAUGUUUCAAUCCUUGUUCCUGCUCCAGGAUUCUCCCAGUUUCAUUUCCAGAGGAAACGAGACUGGAAGGGGACGGGGAGGAAGGGAAAUUUGUUCCCAGUUUUUUCCCUCGGAUGAAGCCUCUCCUGACCUUUUUUGCCAAGCUCCAGAGUUGGUUUUAGAGCAGCAGGAAUGGAGCAGGUAUGGAAUCAGGAAUAAACCUGGAAUUCUGGAAGUGAUUCCCA